GGGCGCGUAGCUCAGGGGUUAGAGCACUCGCCUGAUAAGCGAGAGGUCGGUGGUUCGAUUCCACCCGCGCCCA
Molecule: transfer RNA, 73 nt
Filed under: Azospirillum sp. RU37A
Lineage: Bacteria; Pseudomonadati; Pseudomonadota; Alphaproteobacteria; Rhodospirillales; Azospirillaceae
Also listed under: 3 other names
Description: tRNA_Ile_GAT
Rfam family: tRNA
About the family: Transfer RNA (tRNA) molecules are approximately 80 nucleotides in length.
Source: RNAcentral